AGGGAAUCUUCCGCAAUGGACGCAAGUCUGACGGAGCAACGCCGCGUGAGUGAGGAAGGUCUUCGGAUCGUAAAACUCUGUUGUUAGAGAAGAACACGUACCGUUUGAAUAAGGCGGUACCUUGACGGUAUCUAACGAGAAAGCCCCGGCUAACUACGUGCCAGCAGCCGCGGUAAUACGUAGGGGGCAAGCGUUGUCCGGAACUAUUGGGCGUAAAGCGCGCGCAGGCGGUCUCUUAAGUCUGAUGUGAAAGCCCACGGCUCAACCGUGGAGGGUCAUUGGAAACUGGGAGACUUGAGUGUAGGAGAGGAAAGUGGAAUUCCACGUGUAGCGGUGAAAUGCGUAGAGAUGUGGAGGAAUACCAGUGGCGAAGGCGACUUUCUGGCCUAUAACUGACGCUGAGGCGCGAAAGCGUGGGGAGCAAAC
Molecule: ribosomal RNA, 426 nt
Filed under: uncultured bacterium
Lineage: Bacteria
Description: bacterial SSU rRNA
Rfam family: Bacterial small subunit ribosomal RNA
Source: RNAcentral